CCCUUAGAUGUUCUGGGCCGCACGCGUGCUACACUGAGUGGAUCAGCGGGUCAGGUUGCGCGAAAGCGUUUCCUAAUCUUUAAAUCCGCUCGUGAUGGGGAUUGACGGUUGCAAUUUUCUGUCAUGAACGAGGGAUACCUUGUAAGCGCGGGUCAUCAUCCCGCGCUGAAUACGUCCCUGCCCUUUGUACACACCGCCCGUCGCUCCUACCGAUUGAAGUUUUCGGUGAGUUGACAGGAGGAUUUUUUUGAAACUGGUUCGCCAGUGGAUUUUAGAUCCAAAUGCCAACGAAUCGAUGGCUUUAGAGGAAGGAGAAGUCGUAACA
This 325-nucleotide ribosomal RNA is filed under the name uncultured eukaryote. Its description in RNAcentral is "partial 18S ribosomal RNA". It matches the Rfam family "Eukaryotic small subunit ribosomal RNA", at positions 1470 to 1796 of the family's 1831-position model. The record is from RNAcentral.